This is a long non-coding RNA of Saimiri boliviensis boliviensis (Bolivian squirrel monkey), 724 nucleotides long. RefSeq lists it as uncharacterized. NCBI's taxonomy places the organism in Eukaryota, Metazoa, Chordata, Mammalia, Primates, Cebidae. The record is from RefSeq and is a predicted model, not a curated record.
GUCCUCACCAGAACCCAGCUGUGCUAGCACCCUGAACUCAGGCUUUCAGUCUCCAGAACUAUCCUCAGAGCUUUAUAGUCUUUCAGUUGGGAAAUAUGAAACACUGAAAAUAGAAAACAAAAUCUGGAAAUCUUCUCCUGCAGCCAUGAAAAACAUGCCUUUCACCUUCAGCCAUGAUUGCAAGGCUUCCCCAGCCACGUGGAACUAAAAACUACCUCUUCCUAUGUGGAUAAUUAACAAAGCUGAUGACAUUGGGAAGCAACCCAAGAUUGCAAGUUUACAACUCUUCUGGAUGUGCACUGGUUAAUGCAUGAAAUUCAGCAAUAGCAGACUUUGUUCUUUUGAUAGGUCCAGAAGAUCACCACAUCAAGGAAUAUUUGGAGAUGUUCCAAUUUCUACCAAAGCAAUGCUGUUAUGUCUGCAGUAGACAGUUUGUGUGGAGGUCCAGGGGCCCAGCCAGGAUGGAGCUGAUGAUUGCAUAGACUGGCCUAAAAUUAAUUUUAAGAAAGCAUACUCAAGAAAAUAGACUAUUAUUACAUGGAUAAAAAAAUUAGAAUAAAGAAUGUAAACAUAUGUUACAAAAGUGAAUUCUUGAAAUGGAAGACAAACUUGGCCUUGUUUAGCUUCACCAUUAGCUCUGCCUUCCACCUCCAUUAAUAGUAUAUGUCUCAAUCCUUAUCUAUACUCCAAAUUUGAAUAGUAUAAUUUAAUUUGUUAAAACUUA